GUGUCAUGGUCAUUGUUGACUGUUCAUAUGACCCAUGCAAUUGCGUUGCAGCUUGUGUGGGGGGUUAUAUAACGGUCAACAGAGACCCUUGACAU
Molecule: microRNA precursor, 95 nt
Organism: Medicago truncatula (barrel medic)
Lineage: Eukaryota; Viridiplantae; Streptophyta; Magnoliopsida; Fabales; Fabaceae
Rfam family: MIR2587 microRNA precursor family
Source: Rfam